UCUACGGGAGGCAGCAGUGGGGAAUCUUGCACAAUGGGCGAAAGCCUGACGCAGCGACGCCGCGUGAGUGAUGAAGGUCUUCGGAUCGUAAACCUCUGUCAGCAGGGAAGAAAGUUCACUGUACUAACUAGCAGUGUAUUGACGGUACCUGCCUAGGAAGCACCGGCUAACUACGUGCCAGCAGCCGCGGUAAUACGGAGGGUGCGAGCGUUUUUCGGAGUUACUGGGCGUAAAGAGCUCGUAGGCGGUAUGUCAAGUCAAUGGUGAAAGCCUAGCGCUCAACGUGAGAAAUGCCUUUGAAACUGGCAAACUAGAGUGUGUGAGAGGAUAGUGGAAGUCCAGGUGUAGGGGUGAAAUGCGUAGAUAUCUGGAGGAACAUCAGUGGCGAAGGCGACAAUCUGGCACGUAACUGACGCUGAGGAGCGAAAGCGUGGGUAGCAAACAGGAUUAGAUACCCCUGUAGUC
This 465-nucleotide ribosomal RNA is filed under the name uncultured bacterium. RNAcentral describes it as "partial 16S ribosomal RNA". It matches the Rfam family "Bacterial small subunit ribosomal RNA", at positions 338 to 795 of the family's 1533-position model. The record is from RNAcentral.